RNAcentral lists this long non-coding RNA (838 nucleotides) under Homo sapiens (human). Its description in RNAcentral is "novel transcript". The record is from RNAcentral. Lineage: Eukaryota; Metazoa; Chordata; Mammalia; Primates; Hominidae.
AGAAAUAUCACUGUCAGAGCCUGCCAAACCUGGGUCUGCCCACGUACAAUCACGAACACCACAAGGUGGGUUGUACAACAGACCAUGCCUGCAUAGACUGAAGUACUUCUUACGACCUCCGGUUCAUCAUCUGUUCUUUCAGACGCUAAUACCGGAUAAAGACACGAGAGAACAAGGGUCAAAAAUUAGAACCCAUCCCUCAUCGAAGACUAAGAAUGGUAACAAAUACCAUUGAAGAGAAUUUUCCCCUGGGGACUGUGCAGUUUUUGAUGGACUUUGUGUCACCCCAGCAUUACCCACCAAGAGAAAUCGUGGCUCACAUCAUCCAGAAAAUCUUGCUCAGUGGCUCUGAGACUGUGGAUGUCCUAAAGGAGGCCUACAUGCUUCUCAUGAAAAUUCAACGGCUACAUCCAGCCAAUGCCAAGACAGUGGAGUGGGACUGGAAACUGCUCACCUAUGUCAUGGAGGAAGAGGUUUUGGGGGAACAGGUGGUGUUUGGGUGCAUAGAACCCAGCACCGAGAGGGACCAUCAGAGGAUGUUCCAUGAGAACUUGGUGAGGGUUGUGGAGAGGUUGGCUGGUGCUUCUCCGUCUUCAUACAGAUGUCCAGACAGGGGACCAGAAGUCUCAGGUCUGAGCUCUACCUGGAAGCCCCUCACGUCUGUAGCCAUCAAACCUCCAGAUAAGACGAGCCCUGAAGCAUUUUGGUUGCAUCAGAAAACAGAUGGAAGGCCAGUCUUCACAGAUGCAUAUACUUCAUCCUGGCUUCCACCCACAGAGGUUGCAUCUGUGCAGAAAUUCAUCCCAGAGCACCAGGCAGGUGGGUGUCAACUCCUGCU